This 206-nucleotide ribosomal RNA is filed under the name uncultured Lysobacterales bacterium. RNAcentral describes it as "uncultured Xanthomonadales bacterium partial 16S ribosomal RNA". It matches the Rfam family "Bacterial small subunit ribosomal RNA", at positions 504 to 709 of the family's 1533-position model. Lineage: Bacteria; Pseudomonadati; Pseudomonadota; Gammaproteobacteria; Lysobacterales. The record is from RNAcentral.
UGUGCCAGCAGCCGCGGUAAUACAGAGGGUGCAAGCGUUAAUCGGAUUUACUGGGCGUAAAGCGUGCGUAGGCGGCUAUUUAAGUCGGAUGUGAAAGUCCUGGGCUCAACCUGGGAACUGCAUUCGAUACUGGGUAGCUAGAGAUCGGUUAAGGGCGGCGGUAUUCCGGGUGUAGCGGUGAAAUGCGUAGAUAUCCGGAGGAACAC